GACGAACGCUGGCGGCGUGCCUAACACAUGCAAGUCGAACGGAAGGACCCUGCUUUUGCGUGGUUCUCGAGGGGCGAACGGGUGAGUAACACGUGAGUAACCUGCCCUUGACUGGGGGAUAACUUCAGGAAACUGGGGAUAACACAGGAGAGCAGCUGCUGCAGCAUGGGGGGGGUUGGAAAGUAUCGGCGGUUGUGGCUCGACUCGCGGCUUAUCAGCUGGUUGGGUGGGUAGUUGCUUACCAAGGCUUUGACAGGUAGCCGGCCUGAGAGGGUGGACGCCGACCUGAGUACUACGAUACGGCGCAGUCUCGUACGUGAGGCAGCAGUGGGAAGUAUUGCCCAGUCAGGGCGAGCGUGUUGCAGCAACCCCGCGAUCGUGAUGACGUCCUUCUGGUUGUAAACCGCUUUCGCCUGUGACGUAGCGUGAGUGACGGUACUGGGUAAAGAAGCACCGGCUAACUACGUG
RNAcentral lists this ribosomal RNA (468 nucleotides) under uncultured bacterium. Its description in RNAcentral is "partial 16S ribosomal RNA". It matches the Rfam family "Bacterial small subunit ribosomal RNA", at positions 28 to 507 of the family's 1533-position model. The record is from RNAcentral.